RNAcentral lists this ribosomal RNA (601 nucleotides) under uncultured eukaryote. RNAcentral describes it as "SSU rRNA". It matches the Rfam family "Eukaryotic small subunit ribosomal RNA", at positions 585 to 1204 of the family's 1831-position model. The record is from RNAcentral.
CCAGCUCCAAUAGCGUAUAUUAAAGUUGUUGCAGUUAAAAAGCUCGUAGUUGAAGCUCUGUCGUUCGGACUCGUGCGCUUCGGCAAAGGAGUCUGCGCGACAUCCAUCUGAGCAACGGCCCUGGCAUUCAUUUGUCGCGGUCGGGAUCAGAUACUUUACCUUGAGCAAAUUAGAGUGUUCCAGGCAGGCUUUGGCCUGAAUAGUCCAGCAUGGAAUAAUAGAAGAGGACUGAGUGUCAUUUAUUGGUGUUAUGGCAUUUAGUAAUGAUUAAUAGGGAUAGUUGGGGGCAUUCGUACUUAAUUGUCAGAGGUGAAAUUCUAUGAUUUAUUAAAGACGAACUUAUGCGAAAGCAUUUGCCAAGGAUGUUUUCAUUAAUCAAGAACGAAAGUUAAGGGAUCAAAGACGAUCAGAUACCGUCGUAGUCCUAACUAUAAACUAUGCCGACUAGAGAUUGGAGGUGCAACUCAAGUACUCCUUCAGCAUCUUCCGAGAAAUCAAAGUCUUUGGGUUCUGGGGGAAGUAUGGUCGCAAGACUGAAACUUAAAGGAAUUGACGGAAGGGCACCACCAGGAGUGGAGCCUGCGGCUUAAUUCGACUCAAC